GCGGUUUGAACCACUACGACAAUGCUUAAAACACUUCUUCUGACGACUGUGGCGUUUGUUGCGUAUUGUGAGGCCGGUGUACGGUACAUUGAAAGACCAGUUGGUUCGUCCAGGAUCAUAAAUGGUGUUGAGGCAACAUCGGGAGAAUUUCCACACAGGUGUCUCUACUUCAGGUUGUUUCAGGACAAGGCUAUCACAUAUGUGGGGGAUCGGUAAUUGCUGAUGGAUGGGUACUUACCGCUAGUCAUUGUGUAGAUGGACAAAAUGUUACCAUCGAUUCAUUUUGUACUUGGAUCUAAACUUCAAACAUGAAAAAAGGCACCACCCUAGAGGUUCUAGUAGACACGCCGCUAACCUAGCCUUAGUAGUAGAUAUGCACGACUUCGGAAAUCCUGGAAACAACAUUUGGUUCAACAUUGACCAAGUCAUUAUGCACGAACAGUACAAUAGCGGACAAGGAACAUAUCCAAAUGACAUUGCUCUGUUAAAACUCCAACCAAAUGGGAAAGAUAGCACGAAUAACAAGAUUAAACUGGCUUCUGGUUUUGAAGAUUACGCUGGAAUGACUUGUACCAUCAGUGGUUGGGGAACCUUAGUGGAUGGAAGGUCAGCUACAAUACUGAAUAAAGCGGACGUACUAGUGUUAAGUAGGUCGGAAUGCACUGUAAAGAACUAGUGGAGUAGCACCCAGGUCCUGGAUAAACAUGGAUGUGUCAAAGGUUAUGAUGGCGUCAAUGGUGCCGCAGCAUGUAAUGGAGACAGUGGUGGUCUAUGAUGUGCAAUGAUGUUUUAGUUGGAGCCACUUCUUGGGGACUUAGUGGCUGCCAUACCGACGGUACAGUUACCAAACCAAAUGUGUACGCCCGAAUUUCGUACUUCUAUAACUGGAUCAACUCCAGGUGUUCAAACUGUGCUGUGUAAUAUUAACAUGCAGAUUCACUGAACUCUGUAUAAUCAGAAAUAAAAAUUAAGACUUA
This is a long non-coding RNA of Mercenaria mercenaria, 977 nucleotides long. RefSeq lists it as uncharacterized. Lineage: Eukaryota; Metazoa; Mollusca; Bivalvia; Venerida; Veneridae. The transcript has 7 exons. The record is from RefSeq and is a predicted model, not a curated record.